RNAcentral lists this ribosomal RNA (268 nucleotides) under uncultured bacterium. Its description in RNAcentral is "partial 16S ribosomal RNA". It matches the Rfam family "Bacterial small subunit ribosomal RNA", at positions 524 to 776 of the family's 1533-position model. The record is from RNAcentral.
UACGUAGGGGGCGAGCGUUGUCCGGAGUUACUGGGCGGUAAAGACGCACGCAGGCGGUCUGCGUAAGUUUGGAGUUGACAAGUUCGGUGGCUUAACCUGCCAAAGUGCUUCGAAAACUGGACAGACUUGAGGGCUUCAGAGGGACACGGGAAUUCCCGGGUGGGAGUGGUGGAAAAUGCGUAGAGAUCCGGAGGAACACCAAAGGCGAAGGCAGUGUGCCUGGGGAGUAACCUGACGCUCAGGUGCGAAAGCCAGGGGAGCGAACGGG